This 439-nucleotide ribosomal RNA is filed under the name uncultured bacterium. RNAcentral's name for it is "partial 16S ribosomal RNA". It matches the Rfam family "Bacterial small subunit ribosomal RNA", at positions 339 to 795 of the family's 1533-position model. The record is from RNAcentral.
CUACGGGCUGCUCCAGUGAGGAAUAUUGCAAAAUGGGGGGAACCCUGAUGCAGCAACGCCGCGUGGAGGAUGACGCAUUUCGGUGUGUAAACUCCUUUUAUAUGUCAAGAAAAUGACGGUAGCAUAUGAAUAAGCACCGGCUAACUCCGUGCCAGCAGCCGCGGUAAUAAGGAGGGUGCAAGCGUUACUCGGAAUCACUGGGCGUAAAGGACGCGUAGGCGGGUUGGAAAGUCAGGUGUGAAAUCCUACAGCUUAACUGUAGAACUGCACUUGAAACUUCUAAUCUAGAGUAUGGGAGGGGGAGAUGGAAUUAGUGGUGUAGGGGUAAAAUCCGUAGAUAUCACUAGGAAUACCUAAAGCGAAGGCGAUCUCCUGGAACAUUACUGACGCUAAGGCGUGAAAGCGUGGGGAGCAAACAGGAUUAGAUACCCGUGUAGUC